RNAcentral lists this long non-coding RNA (419 nucleotides) under Rattus norvegicus (Norway rat). RNAcentral's name for it is "long non-coding RNA NONRATT027917". Lineage: Eukaryota; Metazoa; Chordata; Mammalia; Rodentia; Muridae. The record is from RNAcentral.
GGUGACCGUGCGGGUGAGCAGCACCAAGGAGGUGGCGGCAGAGGCCAAGAAGAGUGUGUGUCGCCGCCUGGACUACAUCACACAGAGCCUCCAGCAGCAAGGUGUGCAGACAGAGAAUGUAACUGUGACAAAGGAUUUCAGAAGAGUAGACAAUGCUUACCACAUGGAAGCCGAGGUAGGUACUGGGUGAGUCGGAGUAGCUUGACUUUGUGGAGGCACCAGCAACUUAGACUUACUCUUCAACUGAAACCUACUAGAGAAAUUACUCUUAUGGUGAUGAUAAAAGAUGAUUCUUCUCAAAAUCAUUCUGAUAUUAUAUAUCUGAUCAUGCUCUAAAAUAAAUGUAAUGACAUCUACUUAAGAGAAACGGUGUAAAAUAAGUAAAACUAGCACAUGGAGAGAGCACCGAACCACCACAA